AACGAACGCUGGCGGCAGGCCUAACACAUGCAAGUCGAACGAAGUCUUCGGACUUAGUGGCGCACGGGUGAGUAACACGUGGGAAUAUACCUUACGCUGGGGGAUAACAUCGGGAAACUGAUGCUAAUACCGCAUACACCCUUCGGGGGAAAGAUUUAUCGGCGAAAGAUUAGCCCGCGUCCGAUUAGCUAGUUGGUGAGGUAAUGGCUCACCAAGGCUCCGAUCGGUAGCUGGUCUGAGAGGAUGACCAGCCACACUGGGACUGAGACACGGCCCAGACUCCUACGGGAGGCAGCAGUGGGGAAUAUUGGACAAUGGGCGCAAGCCUGAUCCAGCCAUGCCGCGUGAGUGAUGAAGGCCUUAGGGUUGUAAAGCUCUUUCACCCACGACGAUGAUGACGGUAGUGGGAGAAGAAGCCCCGGCUAACUUCGUG
Molecule: ribosomal RNA, 433 nt
Filed under: uncultured bacterium
Lineage: Bacteria
Description: partial 16S ribosomal RNA
Rfam family: Bacterial small subunit ribosomal RNA
Source: RNAcentral